GACCCCAGGUCAGGCGGGAAUACCCGCUGAGUUUAAGCAUAUCAAUAAGCGGAGGAAAAGAAACUUACCAGGAUUCC
Molecule: ribosomal RNA, 77 nt
Filed under: Aglaia korthalsii
Lineage: Eukaryota; Viridiplantae; Streptophyta; Magnoliopsida; Sapindales; Meliaceae
Description: partial 26S ribosomal RNA
Rfam family: Eukaryotic large subunit ribosomal RNA
Source: RNAcentral